AAGACCUUGCGCUUUUGGAGCGGCCGAUGUCUGAUUAGCUUGUUGGUGAGGUAAAAGCUUACCAAGGCUUCGAUCAGUAGCUGGUCUGAGAGGACGGCCAGCCACACUGGGACUGAGACACGGCCCAGACUCCUACGGGAGGCAGCAGUGGGGAAUUUUGGACAAUGGGGGCAACCCUGAUCCAGCCAUGCCGCGUGAGUGAAGAAGGCCUUCGGGUUGUAAAGCUCUUUCAGCCGGAACGAAACGGUUACGGUUAAUACCCGUGACUACUGACGGUACCGGAAGAAGAAGCACCGGCUAACUACGUGCCAGCAGCCGCGGUAAUACGUAGGGUGCAAGCGUUAAUCGGAAUUACUGGGCGUAAAGCGUGCGCAGGUGGUUUUGUAAGUCAGAUGUGAAAUCCCCGGGCUCAACCUGGGAACU
Molecule: ribosomal RNA, 423 nt
Filed under: uncultured bacterium
Lineage: Bacteria
Description: bacterial SSU rRNA
Rfam family: Bacterial small subunit ribosomal RNA
Source: RNAcentral